CACAGAGAGGCUUCAUCUUUCUUUCUCCGGUGAUGUGAUUGACCUUUCCGGUGGCUGACAUGGUUUAUGGGUGGACCGUGGUAAGAAGGUGAAUGUUGGCAUUCCCUUCCUGUUGGCUCGUACAGUCCCACAAGCUCCUGUGUCCAGGGACAGGAGGUGCUGUAACAGUGUGGGACUACUGCACCAGUUGUCCACGAACAGGAUGUCACCCUUAUUCAAGUAUGGGGCCAGUAAUGUCUUGACAACGGACCCAGAGAUUCCAAGGCCUUCAUAGUGCUGGAUGUCAGUGGGGGUCGUUGAUGACUGCCAUCGCAUUGUUGGAGAAGUGUAGGCAGCAGAGGAGCAGAAGGAAGCGGUCCUGGGAAAACAAAGCCCUGAAAAAUGGUGUCUGGAGCAUGGGGUCUGUACUCCAAUAAUCACGAAGUGGUGUUUUCUCCUGCAGCUCUGAGGCAUAGCGGUUUGUUUCCUCAACAGUUUCCUCAAUUAGUUCCUCAGUAAGGAACAUCUUAAAACAUUGGACUUCACUAGGGGAUUCUGGAGGUUUUUGCAUGCCGCGCAUCCGGUCAUCAAAAGCAACCCCAGGUCCAGGAGGGUUAAAAUUGCUGGUAGCAGGAAGAGCUUACCUCCUCCACCUCCCUUGGUGUUGUGUGUGCAGGCGUAGGAGCAGCAGCUGAGGCAUCUUCAUCCUCAGGGUCAAGGGCUUGGAGGUUGGGGGGUAUCUCCUCAUCUGUGUCACUUCCCUCAUUGUCAAGAUCUCCCUCCUCAUCAGAAUUAAAAAAAUAUUUCUCUGAUCUCCUCAUCCAUAAAUUGUUUUCUUUUUAAAGAAGACAUCUUUUUCUGUGGCAAUUGUGUAAAUAAAACUGUAAAUAAAUCAAAUUAACUCAAGUUGUGUGUGUAAAAUAGAUGACGAGCUCAGAUGCGAGUCUGAGGUAAAAGUGCCGUGCCAUGAUGUCACUUGUCACAAGAAGAAAGGGAAGACUAGUGAUAGGCUAAAGCCAUAGCCAUGUUUUUUUUUUUUUUAAUUGCAGUGCAGGCCUGUCUGAUAAUAUAUAUACACAGAUUCACAAAUAAAAAUAAUUAACAACUCAAUAUGUGUCAUGUGAAAUGUGAGUGUUUUUCUCACUGUCAUCAUAGAUACGAGUGUGUAGAUAUGUGCUGGAAACUUGUAUUCAAAUACUUCUGUUUAUUUGAAUACAAUAAAAAUAUCCUGUGGUUGAAAAGACUGUUCAAGCAGCUGUUUUAGACAUAAAUAACAAGCGUUUUGCCAGUCACUCUCUCUAUAGCAACGGCAGCUAUACAGCAGCGCGAAAGCAGAUUUGGUGAGUUUAUCAUCUAGUGUUGCUGCUGUUAUACACAGUGUGUGUAUAUGGACAGUAAACUUGUAUUCUGUGUUUGUUUGAAUGCAUGUAACAUAAAAUAAACAUUUCCUGUGGUUGAAAAGACUGUUCGAGCAGCUGUUUUAGACAUCUAAAUGACGUGCUUAGCCAGUCUCUUUCUAUGUAGCAGCUAAGC
Myxocyprinus asiaticus (Chinese sucker) is the source of this 1512-nucleotide long non-coding RNA. RefSeq lists it as uncharacterized. The record is from RefSeq and is a predicted model, not a curated record. Lineage: Eukaryota; Metazoa; Chordata; Actinopteri; Cypriniformes; Catostomidae. The transcript is spliced from 4 exons.